Non-coding RNA from Trichonephila clavata, 109 nucleotides. The record is from the annotation of a GenBank genome assembly. NCBI's taxonomy places the organism in Eukaryota, Metazoa, Arthropoda, Arachnida, Araneae, Nephilidae.
AUGGUCAUACCAUGCUGAAAACACUGGUUCUCGCCCGAUCACAGAAGUUAAGCUUUAUCGAGCAUGGCCAGUGCGUUAGGGUGACCGUAUGAGAAUACAACGCGUCGUU